AUUGAACGCUGGCGGCAGGCCUAACACAUGCAAGUCGAGCGGAUGAAGGGAGCUUGCUCCCGGAUUCAGCGGCGGACGGGUGAGUAAUGCCUAGGAAUCUGCCUGGUAGUGGGGGAUAACGUCCGGAAACGGGCGCUAAUACCGCAUACGUCCUGAGGGAGAAAGUGGGGGAUCUUCGGACCUCACGCUAUCAGAUGAGCCUAGGUCGGAUUAGCUAGUUGGUGGGGUAAAGGCCUACCAAGGCGACGAUCCGUAACUGGUCUGAGAGGAUGAUCAGUCACACUGGAACUGAGACACGGUCCAGACUCCUACGGGAGGCAGCAGUGGGGAAUAUUGGACAAUGGGCGAAAGCCUGAUCCAGCCAUGCCGCGUGUGUGAAGAAGGUCUUCGGAUUGUAAAGCACUUUAAGUUGGGAGGAAGGGCAGUAAGUUAAUACCUUGCUGUCUUGACGUUACCAACAGAAUAAGCACCGGCUAACUUCGUG
This 484-nucleotide ribosomal RNA is filed under the name uncultured bacterium. RNAcentral describes it as "partial 16S ribosomal RNA". It matches the Rfam family "Bacterial small subunit ribosomal RNA", at positions 30 to 507 of the family's 1533-position model. The record is from RNAcentral.